RNAcentral lists this unclassified non-coding RNA (470 nucleotides) under Hevea brasiliensis (rubber tree). The record is from RNAcentral. Lineage: Eukaryota; Viridiplantae; Streptophyta; Magnoliopsida; Malpighiales; Euphorbiaceae.
CCUGCCACUCCAUGAGUCAUGAAGGCACGUCCGCUCUCAUUCACAGCAAACAAUAGCUGCCUGUUCAAUUUAGAGCCAUCGAUUCCAUUCUUAGGUUUUAGCCUGAAGCAAACUAAGGCAAACCUCCUUGGCACCACUAUCUCGAACCUUUUGUCAUUUCCCACCAGUGACUCAAACCACUUUGCCAACUUAACAUCGCUGCGUAUGUGGUACAUAAGGUUACUCAAUCCAUGUCUACGGAUCACAACCCAAAGUUUCAAGGCCCUGAAUCGCUUGCUCAAUGCAAUUUGCCAGUCUUUGUAGUCCACUACGUUAUUUGAUUCGGUAGCAGCAUUCCUCAAGUAUUCUGCAUCACUAGUUAAUGAAUCGAUUAAUGAAUGGGGCUGCUUAACCCACAAACAACAACAAUCCAUGUUAGUAAGUAACCAUUUAUGUGGGUUCAUGCUAAUUGAAUCUGCAAGUUCUACACC